Long non-coding RNA from Cyprinus carpio carpio, 1174 nucleotides. The record is from Ensembl. NCBI's taxonomy places the organism in Eukaryota, Metazoa, Chordata, Actinopteri, Cypriniformes, Cyprinidae.
UUAAAUCUUUUUUUAUAUCAUUAUUAUUAUUGCUGUUGAUGUUGUCGUUUCUUUAGUAAUGUGUACACUAACAUGUAUUCAAGAUGUAAGAAAAAUGCCAUGUAAUUAAUAAAUAAAAAAUAUUUAAGUCAUUAAAUUAAAAGUUUUUCAAAACCCUAUGGAACCAACAUGAAUACAAAGAGUACAUAUCUAAGCACUUGGCAUAUUUGUUUUAAACUAGAAUUUUAAAGGAUUUGUUCCUUUUGAAAACACUCUUAUAUGUCAUUGACCUAUCUAUAUCAGAGCUCUCCCACCAUAACUUCGUUGUUCAUCUCUUUUCUUGUCUUUUUAGUUUGAUGGAGCGAGCAAGAGGAAUAUCAAUAUGCUCAGGACGUGUUAUACAUUUAGACUGGGCUCACAUUCCAUCUCUGAGUGGGCACAGAGAAAGCCACCUGUCAGUAUGUCACUAUCAGAUUUGGUUCUUACUAAUGUUUUUUUCUUCCACUUUUGCUAACUCCUUUUAAUAUCAAUCAUGUCCCACUUCAUUACUUUCUAAUUCAUUCAUGUUUAUCACUCUAACAUGUUAAUGACUUUGGCAAGUAAACUGAAAGCCACAUGGAUACAGUAUAUACUGUACACACUGUUAAUAAGACUUUUGUAAGACACAAAAGGUCAUGAUCAAGAUCGAUCAUGAUAUAAAAUGGUCAGAUUGCCCAUACCUAGUGAAAAUUGUGAACUAAAGGAUAGGUGUAAUUGAAAGGGGUGUUAAAGUAAAAAAUAAGUGUAACUGGAUUAACCCUUAUGCACUGUUAAAAAAAAAAAAAAAAUAAAAAAAAAAUAAACCUUUUCACAUAUUGCAAAGAUUAAAUAUCUGAAUUUAUGAUUUAUAAAAAUGUUUUCAAUCACUAUGUUUGAUUGUCCCUCCCCCACACCUGUUUUGAUGUUUGAGAUUACACAUUUUUUUAACGAUAAAAGCUUGGUCUUAAUCUAAAGUAAUCUUGACAAACUUUACAUAUUUUGAAAGUUUUCAUACUUUAGUUUUCAUAUUUGGUGACAAUAGAUAAAAGAGAUAGAUUGUUCAUUUGUGAUGUGGUGCCAAACACACUCUUGUUAUUAUAUUAAAGUUACUGCCCAAACUAUGUCUGAAUAGGAUGUCUACUUCAUAAAUAUUUUGAAGAUUAUGGAAAUAUAUGGU